This 35-nucleotide non-coding RNA is filed under the name Prorocentrum micans. Lineage: Eukaryota; Dinophyceae; Prorocentrales; Prorocentraceae. The record is from RNAcentral.
AGGAAAAAAAAAAAAAAAAAAAAAAAAAAAAAAAA